Molecule: ribosomal RNA, 484 nt
Filed under: uncultured bacterium
Lineage: Bacteria
Description: partial 16S ribosomal RNA
Rfam family: Bacterial small subunit ribosomal RNA
Source: RNAcentral
GACGAACGCUGGCGGCGUGCUUAACACAUGCAAGUCGAACGAUGAACCCGGAGCUUGCUCCGGUGGAUUAGUGGCGAACGGGUGAGUAACACGUGAGUAACCUGCCCUUGACUCUGGGAUAACUGCGGGAAACUGUAGCUAAUACCGGAUACGACCCUCGGCGGCAUCGCCAGGGGGUGGAAAGAAUUUCGGUCAAGGAUGGACUCGCGGCCUAUCAGCUAGUUGGUGAGGUAACGGCGCACCAAGGCGACGACGGGUAGCCGGACGGGGAGGGUGACCGGCCACACUGGAACCGAGACACGGUCCAGACUGCUACGGGAGGCAGCAGUGGGGAAUAUUGCACAAUGGGCGAAUGCCUGGUGCAGCAACGCCGCGUGAGGGAUGAAGGCCUUCGGGUUGUAAACCUCUUUUAGCAGGGAAGAAGCGAAAGUGACGGUACCUGCAGAAAAAGCACCGGCUAACUACGUGCCAGCCGCCGCAGUAA